This 506-nucleotide long non-coding RNA is filed under the name Carica papaya (papaya). Its description in RNAcentral is "long non-coding RNA (CPAP_LNC008282)". The record is from RNAcentral. Lineage: Eukaryota; Viridiplantae; Streptophyta; Magnoliopsida; Brassicales; Caricaceae.
UGCCUUUCACCAACCUCACAUGUAAAUUGCAUUAAGGACGGCCCACCCACUGAGCAAGUUAUUGGUCCUGAUCAGUCGAUUGCCCAUCGUUGAAUGGAUCAUAAUGAGGUAAUCAUCAAUCAUAAAAAUUUCUGACUUCUCACUUUGGUAAAUUUCUAUUAAUUUUCAUCCAUUAAUUAUAAAAAUCUAUACUAGUUUAUCUAACUGUUACAUAAACUAAUAUAUCUAAAAGUCUUGGUUCGCAAAUGAGUUUAUGUUAAUGUUGGCUAGCUUAAAUUACGAUUCUUAAUUGCUGGGGAACUCAUCAAGAUUACAUGUUAAAUUGAAGAAACACAUAUAUAUACUUUGAGGGCAUUCAUGGGUUCCAUGUGUUUUCAAUUGAAGGGAUAUGUUUCUUUGUACAAGUUGACGUUCAUUAGUUUUGGAAGCAUUUGACAGCAACAGCUAUAAUUAUUAACAACUAUUCAAGGGUAGAUUUGCAGCCAAAUGUAAAUAUUUCUUUUCAG